RNAcentral lists this ribosomal RNA (465 nucleotides) under uncultured bacterium. Its description in RNAcentral is "partial 16S ribosomal RNA". It matches the Rfam family "Bacterial small subunit ribosomal RNA", at positions 28 to 507 of the family's 1533-position model. The record is from RNAcentral.
GACGAACGCUGGCGGCGUGCUUAACACAUGCAAGUCGAGCGAGGCCCCUCCUUCGGGAGGGUGUCCUAGCGGCGAACGGGUGAGUAACACGUGGGCAACCUGCCCUCAGCUCUGGGAUAACUCCGGGAAACAGGGGCUAAUACCGGAUACGACAUCCACGGGCAUCUGCGGAGGUGGAAAGUUUUUCGGCUGAGGAUGGGCCCGCGGCCUAUCAGCUAGUUGGUGGGGUAGUGGCUCACCAAGGCGACGACGGGUAGCCGGCCUGAGAGGGCGACCGGCCACACUGGGACUGAGACACGGCCCAGACUCCUACGGGAGGCAGCAGUGGGGAAUAUUGCGCAAUGGGCGAAAGCCUGACGCAGCGACGCCGCGUGAGGGACGAAGGCCUUCGGGUUGUAAACCUCUUUCAGCAGGGACGAAGCGAGAGUGACGGUACCGGCAGAAGAAGCACCGGCCAACUACGUG